This 2392-nucleotide unclassified non-coding RNA is filed under the name Hevea brasiliensis (rubber tree). Lineage: Eukaryota; Viridiplantae; Streptophyta; Magnoliopsida; Malpighiales; Euphorbiaceae. The record is from RNAcentral.
CGGUUGGGUUCAGUUAACAGUUGAGUUUCUUCUUCAAUGAGCUUGAAAUGCACGUCUUUACCAAUCUAAGAACAAAAUCCUAAAUUUCCAGAUCUGUGCACUACAUCUUAAAAAUGGCAGUGGUCAUCGACGCCUCCAUUUGGGAACCCAAUCCUUCUCUGUAUCUCUUCAUUUUCAUCUGUUGCUUCUUCUCUAUCGCUCUCUUCCCACAUGCCUCAAGAACCAACAAUAGCAUCAACAAAUCUCAAUCUCCCUUCGAUCAUGGCAUCUCUUCUUCUUCUUCUUCUUUCCUUCGUUUCCAGCGAAAGUUCCUCUUUUUCUUCUCUCUCGCUUCAGUCAUGGAAGGGCUGUGGUCCGUGUUUGGAGAGUUUGAAUUGGCUAAAUAUGGAGUUAAUAAGGAGCAAAUCAUGACGUCUCUCUGUGUUGGAUAUGGUGCUGCUCUUCUUGUUGGUACCUUUUUAGGGAUGAUCUCUGAUUUAGUAGGUCACAAGAAAUCUUGUUUGAUCUUUUGCAUCCUACACCUCUGUGUUGGCAUAUGGAAGAGGAUUAUGCCACAUCCUAGCGUCUGGUUAGCAAGUACAUGUUUAUCCCUUGCCACCUCAAUAUUUUCUUUCAGUUUCGAGGCAUGGGUAGUUGUCGAAAAUGAAAAGCAAGGACAUGGACAAGAUACUUUGAGUGACACAUUUUGGUUAAUGACUUUCUUUGAGUCAGCAUCAUUAAUUGGAAGCCAGGUGCUUGCAAAUUGGCUGUUGGGUAGUAAUCUGGAAAAAGGCUUUGCAUCUUGUUACACUGCAGCCAUCUUUCUGGCAAUGAUAGGUAUCGUCUAUGUCAACAAAGGAUGGAAAGAAACCACACAAGAUGCUGCCAUUAAAGAUUAUAGGGUAUCUUACAUACAUAUCUUUACUGGUAAGAUUUUAUAUUUUUUCAUGACAGUUCCUGGUUUUAAUUGAUGCAAACAGUUAAUUGUGUUUCAACAUUUAAAUCUAAAAUUUUUUCAGUAAUGGUGCAUGCAUUGUACCAUAUUGAGGUACUGCAGUUAUUUAGAUUAAGAAAAUUGAAUGUCUUUGCUAAAACCAUUUUACUGUAAACCUAAAGAAGGAUUAUGCAUUCUGUUUUACUUAAUACUGCACUUUAAAAGCUAUAAUUGAUGGUUUAACUUAUAAUUUUUCUUUGAUCUACUAUUGCUUUUCCCUGUUGUGAAGGGUUCUAGGUUAUUAAUUAUCUUUCCAAUGGUAACCCUUUUCUGUUCACUUACACUCUUUUCAUACAGCUUAACUAGAUUAUGCCUCCUCAUUGCUGCUUUACAUUAAUAAGAUCAGAAGAAAACUUCCAAAGGUUGAACCAUUUGUGCUAGUUUGCAGCUGACUUUGGGAUUUUUUAUUUUUAUUAUAAAUGAAAACAUGGACAUUUUUACCUGCAGUUCAAAGGAUUGAUUUAAUCGUGACAUUACUCUAGUAGGAUUGAUAUGUGGUUAUUCAUUAAAAAGUCUCAGUGUGACAUGAGUUUCAAUUUUUUUUUUAAUGACUAUUUGUAUUUAAGCAUCUGUUUUCUGACAGUUCUAAUUUUUGAAUUCUCAUUCUUGUGCAGUAUGCUUAGCAAAUUGCAUCAUUUAUAAUUGACCAUAACCUGUGCUUUUUACUAAACAUAAAAAACUUUCAAACUUUGCACUGUUGGAACUGCCUUGAUCAAUUUUACAUUUGUACGUGUUUUGAUCAACAUGGACAUAUUGAUGGUCAUAUGUUUCAAGAAAAUUUUCAAGAUGUAUUGAUGUUGUUAAAGAUAGAGCCAGGGAAAGUUUACUUUAAUAUGCAUUCGGUUUUAUUCUUCUUUUAUGCUGUAAUAAUAUAAUGAGAGUGUUCUUCUCAGUUCUCAUUGUUGGUGAUCUUCUAAUAUCCACCAGAUAAACGAAUGUGGCUACUGGGAUGUGCACACGCUUGCCUUCAGUUCUCUAUUGCUGUCUUCUGGAUUAUGUGGGCCCCAACAUUGGUGGUAGAUCACUUGUUUGUUUAUAUAAAAGAUUGUUAAAUGCUUUCACUAUUGGUUUCUGAUAUCUGAGUUUCCUCCUUAUCAUCCUGGAAUUAUUUUUCCCCCGUUGAUCAAUUGGCUUUUUACGUAUCUACCUGAUCUUUUAAAAUGUUGAUUUCAACAUUUAAAUAUAGACAUCUGACAUAAUCUAUUGAGGGUAAUUUCUAUGGUUACUUUGUUUAAAACAAAGUUUAAAACAAAGUAAGAUUACUUUGUUUUAUAAAUAAAAAAUAAAAAAUCAAACAUUACGAAAUUUGUAUAUUUUCUAAUAAAUUUUACAUAAAGCAACAUUUAGUUUUCAUAAAGCAAUUAUUUCAUAAAAAAGCAUAUUAGGUUUAACCAAAAAAUGAUGAUACUUCACAGAAAA